GGCCGCGACGGCUUUCCAUUGGCCUUCCCUAUUUCCUUUCUGCUGAUGCUGCGUCGCGCCGACCGCUUCGACUCCCAUUGACCAUACAUACACAGAAGCCACAUGCUGUAGUCAAGCGUCCGUUUUCGUCCGCCGACACCACACAAAGCCGCGAGGCAGAACACCGGUUGCUGAGGAGGGAGUGCGAGAGACGCUGGUGAUACACAUAAAAACCCAGAGACGCACCAUCUGUGCCUCACGUUGACUUUACCAAAUCGCUUUCCAACGAUGCCUGCCUCUGCUUCGCCGUCCUCCGCGUCCUCCGGGAGCGGCUUCCUUCAGGAGCCGGUGGAGGCGAUGUGCAUGAAGUGCCACCAGAAGGCGAUCGAGUUCGAAACAAACUCGUGCCAUCACCCCUGUUUCUGCAAGCAAUGCGCCAUGAAGUGCGCCUCGGGCGGAAAAUGCAAGACAUGUGGCCAGCUCUACGCUGGUCUCACGCAUGUGAGGCGGUAGCGUUGCCGCGUACGUGAGCGUUUCUGUUGCGGAAAGGCGCGAUGCAUGAGCGGCCUCCGCUCUGCCUUUGAAGUGGGUCUCUCAUAUAUUUAUUUGCUGUUGUUGGCUGUUUUGGUUUCACUCGUUUUCACCUCUCCAUGAGUACUUGCGUGCCAUCCACUGCAUCUCCUUUGCGGAGCUCCCUCUGCAUCUGUCUGUUGUGACUCCACUCUUCCCCCGAUCACUUCACUGUCCGGACGGGGUCGUCCAAGUGAAGGGGUGGGUGUGGACCGCACACGCAACUGUGCGAAGCUCCUACACGCGCUCUUUGCGCGCACGCCAGCUCGUGGUAGAGCGCCACCAUAGCAACAGUGACACCAAGCC
RNAcentral lists this unclassified non-coding RNA (855 nucleotides) under Leishmania donovani. RNAcentral's name for it is "gene:unknown". Lineage: Eukaryota; Euglenozoa; Kinetoplastea; Trypanosomatida; Trypanosomatidae. The record is from RNAcentral.